This 507-nucleotide ribosomal RNA is filed under the name uncultured bacterium. RNAcentral describes it as "bacterial SSU rRNA". It matches the Rfam family "Bacterial small subunit ribosomal RNA", at positions 791 to 1296 of the family's 1533-position model. The record is from RNAcentral.
UAGUCCACACCGUAAACGAUGACUACUAGAUGGUGCGGGUAUUGACUCCUGCGCUGUCGGGGCUAACGCAUUAAGUAGUCCGCCUGGGAAGUACGGCCGCAAGGCUAAAACUCAAAGGAAUUGACGGGGACCCGCACAAGCGGUGGAGUAUGUGGUUUAAUUCGAUGCAACGCGAAGAACCUUACCUACUCUUGACAUCUAGAGAAGCCAGCGGAGACGCAGGUGUGCCUUCGGGAACUCUAAGACAGGUGCUGCAUGGCUGUCGUCAGCUCGUGUUGUGAAAUGUUGGGUUAAGUCCCGCAACGAGCGCAACCCUUAUCCUUGUUUGCCAGCACGUAAUGGUGGGAACUCCAGGGAGACUGCCGGUGACAAACCGGAGGAAGGUAAGGAUGACGUCAAGUCAGCAUGCCCCUUAUGCUCUGGGCUACACACGUGCUACAAUGGCCGUGACAAAGAGUUGCUACUUUGUGAAAACAAGCUAAUCUCAUAAACGCGGCCUCAGUUCGG